This 513-nucleotide ribosomal RNA is filed under the name Conocephalus longiceps. RNAcentral describes it as "partial 16S ribosomal RNA". It matches the Rfam family "Bacterial large subunit ribosomal RNA", at positions 1815 to 2599 of the family's 2925-position model. The record is from RNAcentral. Lineage: Eukaryota; Metazoa; Arthropoda; Insecta; Orthoptera; Tettigoniidae.
ACAUGUCUUUUUGAGUAAAAUUUAAAGUCGGGCCUGCCCACUGAUAAUAUUAAAGGGCCGCGGUAUCCUGACCGUGCAAAGGUAGCAUAAUCAUUAGUCUUUUAAUUGAAGGCUAGAAUGAAUGGUUUGACGAAGUAGCAGCUGUCUCAGUAUGAGAUAUAAAAUUUAACUUUUGAGUUAAAAGGCUUAAAUUCAAAUAAAGGACGAGAAGACCCUAUAGAGUUUUAUAUAAUUUGUAAAUAGAUUCAAAUAGUAGUUGUGGUUUAUAUUUAUAAAUUUUAUUAGGUUGGGGUGACUUAAAGAUAAAAUUAACUCUUUAUUUUAAAUAACAUUGAUUUAUGAGUAACUGAUCCAUUAAUAAUGAUUAUAAGAUAAAAUUACCUUAGGGAUAACAGCGUAAUUUUUCUUGAGAGUUCUUAUCGACAGAAAAGUUUGCGACCUCGAUGUUGGACUAAGAAAAUGAUUUGAUGUAGCAGUUAAAUUAAUAAGUCUGUUCGACUUUUAAAUUCUUAC